GUUCUGUCUUCGGCCGAGGGGGGAUUCUGCCUACACGGUAUGAGUCUCGUUCCCUUUGGGUGUGCGGUGUCAAAGCCGUGCACUCUUAACGGUCGGACAAGUCCGUCGGAGUGUGGUUAUUGUUGGAAGGGCAACCGACCAAUGAGGCCACCGUAAUCGUUCGGGGUGCCUUUAAUCGGGUGUCUCGGGCGGCCGACAUAGUUUACUUUGAACAAAUUAGAGUGCUCAAAGCAGGUGACUACCGCCUGAAUAGUACAGCAUGGAAUGACGAAAGAGGACCUCGGUCUGAUUUUGCUGGUCUUUAACGGUCGGGCUUCGGCCCGGCCUAUGCAGACCCGAGGUAAUGGUCAAUAGAGACGGACGGGGGCAUCCGUACUGCGGCGACAGAGGUGAAAUUCUUGGACCGCCGCAAGACGAACGACAGCGAAGGCAUUUGCCAAGAAUGUUUUCCUUGAUCAAGAACGAAAGUUAGAGGUUCGAAGGCGAUCAGAUACCGCCCUAGUUCUAACCAUAAACGAUGCCAACUAGCGAUCUGCUGGUGUUACUCCCAUGACUCGGCGGGCAGCUUCCGGGAAACCAAAGUCUUUGGGUUCCGGGGGAAGUAUGGUUGCAAAGCUGAAACUUAAAGGAAUUGACGGAAGGGCACCACCAGGAGUGGAGCCUGCGGCUUAAUUUGACCCAACACGGGAAACCUCACCAGGCCCGGACACUGGAAGGAUUGACAGAUUGAGAGCUCUUUCUUGAUUCGGUGGGUGGUGGUGCAUGGCCGUUCUUAGUUGGUGGAGCGAUUUGUCUGGUUAAUUCCGAUAACGAACGAGACUCUAGCCUGCUAAAUAGGUGCCGGGUUUUUACAUCUCCUCGCAAGGGGAGAGUGGAGUGUGUGGUUGUCGGGAUCCUGGGCUGUGGUGGUCGUUUAGGCUGCGGGGGGCAACUCUCGUGGUCUGGGCGGCUGUCAUAGUUCACCCGGUGUACGCACACUUCGCGUCCGGCAUUUUUCUUCUUAGAGGGACAAGCGGCGUCCAGCCGCGUGACAGUGAGCAAUAACAGGUCUGUGAUGCCCUUAGAUGUCCUGGGCCGCACGCGCGCUACACUGAAGGAAUCAGCGUGUUAUUCAUCCCUGUCUGAAAAGACCGGGCAACCGCUGAACCUCCUUCGUGGUUGGGAUUGGGGACUGCAAUGAUCCCCAUGAACCAGGAAUCCCUAGUAGGCGCGGGUCACUAGCCCGCGUCGAUUACGUCCCUGCCCUUUGUACACACCGCCCGUCGCUACUACCGAUUGAAUGAUUUAGUGAGAACUUCAGACGGCUAUGUUUGUCCGGGGCAACCCGCGUUGAGCAGGGCUGAAAGAUGUUCAAACUUGAUCCUUUAGAGGAAGUAAAAGUCGUAACAAGGUU
RNAcentral lists this ribosomal RNA (1393 nucleotides) under metagenome. RNAcentral describes it as "SSU rRNA". It matches the Rfam family "Eukaryotic small subunit ribosomal RNA", at positions 639 to 1801 of the family's 1831-position model. The record is from RNAcentral.